AGGACGAAAACUCUUUUAGUGGGGGAGAGUUGUAACACCCCGUUAAUUCUAGUGUAUUAAUUUAAUUAUUUUAUUAAUUAAAUUAUUAGAAUUAAUAAUCUGUGGGAAUUAUUUGGAAAAUAAUAAAAAUAUGGUGUUGGGCUGAGUGUGAUAGUUAGUAGAAAGGGGGUGUUAACUAAGCAAGCCCAUUAAGAAUGUUUUAUUUUAUUUUUCAUAAAAUAAAGGAAAUUGGGAAAAAGAGAAGCAGAAGCAGUAGAAGCAGAUUUUGGGACUGAAGAACACGUGAAAGUGAGAAGAGCCAAAGGGGGAGAAGAACUUCGAAGAUCCGACUCUAAGAUUAAGGAUGUAGCGGCGUGUGAUUGGGUGAAGAUAGCUUAUAAGCUAGCCCGUAGUUCGUGUCGAGUCAUGCUCUGAUUGUAACACUGGGAUCGAUUAGUCUUAGCGUUACUUGAGAUACUAUGUUGUUAUUUUGUUUAUGGAUUAUGUAUUGAUGAGCUGUUUGGAUAUGCUCCUAACAUUGUUUGAAAUAAGUUUCCGCUGUGAUGAACACAUGUUGAAGUUUGGUUAAUUUUAAUAAAAGCAUGACAAUCGACUUUGAUGUUUUAUUUA
This is a long non-coding RNA of Vicia villosa (hairy vetch), 609 nucleotides long. RefSeq lists it as uncharacterized. The transcript is spliced from 2 exons. The record is from RefSeq and is a predicted model, not a curated record. NCBI's taxonomy places the organism in Eukaryota, Viridiplantae, Streptophyta, Magnoliopsida, Fabales, Fabaceae.